RNAcentral lists this ribosomal RNA (513 nucleotides) under uncultured bacterium. RNAcentral describes it as "partial 16S ribosomal RNA". It matches the Rfam family "Bacterial small subunit ribosomal RNA", at positions 28 to 523 of the family's 1533-position model. The record is from RNAcentral.
GAUGAACGCUGGCGGCGUGCCUAAUACAUGCAAGUCGAGCGAACAGACGAGGAGCUUGCUCCUUUGAUGUUAGCGGCGGACGGGUGAGUAACACGUAGGUAACCUACCUAUAAGACUGGGAUAACUUCGGGAAACCGGAGCUAAUACCGGAUAAUAUGUCGAACCGCAUGGUUCGAUAGUGAAAGAUGGCUUUGCUAUCACUUAUAGAUGGACCUGCGCCGUAUUAUCUAGUUGGUAGGGUAAUGGCUUACCAAGGCAACGAUACGUAGCUGACCUGAGAGGGUGAUCGGCCACACUGGAACUGAGACACGGUCCAGACUCCUACGGGAGGCAGCAGUAGGGAAUCUUCCGCAAUGGGCGAAAGCCUGACGGAGCAACGCCGCGUGAGUGAUGAAGGUCUUCGGAUCGUAAAACUCUGUUAUUAGGGAAGAACAAACGUGUAAGUAACUGUGCACGUCUUGACGGUACCUAAUCAGAAAGCCACGGCUAACUACGUGCCAGCCGCCGCCGUAA